ACAGCAGUAGCCGCGGUAAUACAGAGGGUGCGAGCGUUAAUCGGAUUUACUGGGCGUAAAGCGUGCGUAGGCGGCUUCUUAAGUCGGAUGUGAAAUCCCUGAGCUUAACUUAGGAAUUGCAUUCGAUACUGGGAGGCUAGAGUAUGGGAGAGGAUGGUAGAAUUCCAGGUGUAGCGGUGAAAUGCGUAGAGAUCUGGAGGAAUACCGAUGGCGAAGGCAGCCAUCUGGCCUAAUACUGACGCUGAGGUACGAAAGCAUGGGGAGCAAACAGGAUUAGAUACCCCCGUAGUCCCUGUCUCUUAUAC
RNAcentral lists this ribosomal RNA (305 nucleotides) under uncultured bacterium. RNAcentral's name for it is "partial 16S ribosomal RNA". It matches the Rfam family "Bacterial small subunit ribosomal RNA", at positions 508 to 807 of the family's 1533-position model. The record is from RNAcentral.